This 295-nucleotide ribosomal RNA is filed under the name uncultured soil bacterium. RNAcentral's name for it is "partial 16S ribosomal RNA". It matches the Rfam family "Bacterial small subunit ribosomal RNA", at positions 26 to 318 of the family's 1533-position model. The record is from RNAcentral.
AGAUUGAACGCUGGCGGCAUGCUUUACACAUGCAAGUCGAACGGUAACAGGCCGCAAGGUGCUGACGAGUGGCGAACGGGUGAGUAAUGCAUCGGAACGUGCCCAGUCGUGGGGGAUAACGCAGCGAAAGCUGUGCUAAUACCGCAUACGAUCUAUGGAUGAAAGCGGGGGACCAAAGGCCUCGCGCGAUUGGAGCGGCCGAUGUCAGAUUAGCUAAGUUGGUGGGGUAAACGGACCCACCCGAAGGCGACGAUCGUGUAGCUGGUCUAGAGAGGACGACCAGCCCACACUGAAC